CGGGCCGUGGCCUAGUGGUUUAGGGCACACGCAUGGGGUGCGUGGGAUCGCUGGUUCGAAUCCAGUCGGCCCGA
This 74-nucleotide transfer RNA is filed under the name Candidatus Tagabacteria bacterium CG09_land_8_20_14_0_10_41_14. RNAcentral's name for it is "tRNA-Pro". It matches the Rfam family "tRNA". Rfam says of the family: Transfer RNA (tRNA) molecules are approximately 80 nucleotides in length. RNAcentral also lists the same sequence under 1 other name. Lineage: Bacteria; Candidatus Tagaibacteriota. The record is from RNAcentral.